This 1343-nucleotide ribosomal RNA is filed under the name uncultured bacterium. RNAcentral's name for it is "16S ribosomal RNA". It matches the Rfam family "Bacterial small subunit ribosomal RNA", at positions 28 to 1378 of the family's 1533-position model. The record is from RNAcentral.
GACGAACGCUGGCGGCGUGCUUAACACAUGCAAGUCGAACGGAAAGGCCCUGCUUUUGUGGGGUGCUCGAGUGGCGAACGGGUGAGUAACACGUGAGUAACCUGCCCUUGACUUUGGGAUAACUUCAGGAAACUGGGGCUAAUACCGGAUAGGAGCUCCUGCUGCAUGGUGGGGGUUGGAAAGUUUCGGCGGUUGGGGAUGGACUCGCGGCUUAUCAGCUUGUUGGUGGGGUAGUGGCUUACCAAGGCUUUGACGGGUAGCCGGCCUGAGAGGGUGACCGGCCACAUUGGGACUGAGAUACGGCCCAGACUCCUACGGGAGGCAGCAGUGGGGAAUAUUGCACAAUGGGCGGAAGCCUGAUGCAGCGACGCCGCGUGCGGGAUGACGGCCUUCGGGUUGUAAACCGCUUUCGCCUGUGACGAAGCGUGAGUGACGGUAAUGGGUAAAGAAGCACCGGCUAACUACGUGCCAGCAGCCGCGGUGAUACGUAGGGUGCGAGCGUUGUCCGGAUUUAUUGGGCGUAAAGGGCUCGUAGGUGGUUGAUCGCGUCGGAAGUGUAAUCUUGGGGCUUAACCCUGAGCGUGCUUUCGAUACGGGUUGACUUGAGGAAGGUAGGGGAGAAUGGAAUUCCUGGUGGAGCGGUGGAAUGCGCAGAUAUCAGGAGGAACACCAGUGGCGAAGGCGGUUCUCUGGGCCUUUCCUGACGCUGAGGAGCGAAAGCGUGGGGAGCGAACAGGCUUAGAUACCCUGGUAGUCCACGCUGUAAACGGUGGGUACUAGGUGUGGGGUCCAUUCCACGGGUUCCGUGCCGUAGCUAACGCUUUAAGUACCCCGCCUGGGGAGUACGGCCGCAAGGCUAAAACUCAAAGGAAUUGACGGGGCCCCGCACAAGCGGCGGAGCAUGCGGAUUAAUUCGAUGCAACGCGUAGAACCUUACCUGGGUUUGACAUGGAUCGGGAGCGCUCAGAGAUGGGUGUGCCUCUUUUGGGGUCGGUUCACAGGUGGUGCAUGGCUGUCGUCAGCUCGUGUCGUGAGAUGUUGGGUUAAGUCCCGCAACGAGCGCAACCCUUGUUCACUGUUGCCAGCACGUUAUGGUGGGGACUCAGUGGAGACCGCCGGGGUCAACUCGGAGGAAGGUGGGGAUGACGUCAAGUCAUCAUGCCCCUUAUGUCCAGGGCUUCACGCAUGCUACAAUGGCUGGUACAGAGAGUGGCGAGCCUGUGAGGGUGAGCGAAUCUCGGAAAGCCGGCCUCAGUUCGGAUUGGGGUCUGCAACUCGACCUCAUGAAGUCGGAGUCGCUAGUAAUCGCAGAUCAGCAACGCUGCGGUGAACACGUUCCCGGG